This 381-nucleotide ribosomal RNA is filed under the name unidentified archaeon. Its description in RNAcentral is "bacterial SSU rRNA". It matches the Rfam family "Archaeal small subunit ribosomal RNA", at positions 89 to 462 of the family's 1478-position model. The record is from RNAcentral.
CUAGGGAACACGUAGGCAACAUGCCCAGGGGAGCUUUGGAUAACCUCGGGAGACUGGAGGAUAAACCGCGAUAGGUCACUACUUCUGGAAUGGGUAAUGACCCUUAACCUAGUAUGUGCCCCUGGAUUGGACUGCGGCCGAUCAGCUGUUGGUGAGGUUAAUGGCCCACCAAACCUGUAACCAGGUACGGGCUCUGAGAGGAGGAGCCCGGAGUAUGGGCACUGGAGACAAGGGCCCCAGCCCUAUGGGGCGCACAGGCGCGAAACCUCUGCAAUAGGCGAAAGCGUGACAGGGUUACGUGGGAGUGAUUUCCGUUAAGGAGAUCUUUUGGCACCUCUAAAAAUGGUGCAGAUAUAAGGGGUGGAGCAAUCUGGUUCCAGC